This 216-nucleotide ribosomal RNA is filed under the name uncultured bacterium. RNAcentral describes it as "partial 16S ribosomal RNA". It matches the Rfam family "Bacterial small subunit ribosomal RNA", at positions 328 to 537 of the family's 1533-position model. The record is from RNAcentral.
ACGCUCGACACCUACGGGAGGCAGCAGUGAGGAAUAUUGGUCAAUGGGCGCUAGCCUGAACCAGCCAAGUAGCGUGAAGGAUGAAGGCUCUAUGGGUCGUAAACUUCUUUUAUAUAAGAAUAAAGUGCAGUAUGUAUACUGUUUUGUAUGUAUUAUAUGAAUAAGGNUCGGCUAACUCCGUGCCACAGCCGCGGUAAUCUGAGCGGCUGGCAAGGC